Molecule: long non-coding RNA, 6074 nt
Filed under: Linum usitatissimum (flax)
Lineage: Eukaryota; Viridiplantae; Streptophyta; Magnoliopsida; Malpighiales; Linaceae
Description: long non-coding RNA (LUSI_LNC007112)
Source: RNAcentral
AUUCCUUAAACUUUAUUUUUCCUCCCUUUCUUAGAAGUGUUUCCUGAAACUGGAAAUUUCAUAUCCACCCAAGCUACGAGGUUCUCCCAAGCUGUGUAACUCCGGUAUGUAUACCUCCCCCAAACUCCCUACAACAAACUCGACUUUCAUUUGGUCGGCCAUAUAUGUUAUGCCUGCGCUGGCAUCAUCCUUUACCUUGUGUUUUAGUCCGCACUUUCUUAACUGGCCAUUGACUUAGGGAGAUGAUAAUAACAACCCGUAGGUAAUCUUACAACCCCUUCUAUAGUUCUAAGUCAUGCACUUUUAACAAUGUGCUACUUUCAUUGGAAACAACAAAUGAGUUCCAAAUAUUUCAUAUGCUUUCCCUGUUAUGUUCCCAUGCGCUUAGAUUACACCAAGUAAAUAACUCUAUUCAAACUGUGCAAGAACAUGCCCCGAAAAAGACUGCAUCCCCAAAAUGCAAAUGUCGACGGACAUCUCAAGCCCCCCAAAAAACGUAAAUCAACACGUGCUCGGUAAAUUGAUAAACGGUCUAGGCUGUUUGCUAUCACACAAAAUUUUAACCCAUCUGUUCAUGAUUUACGAACCAGAUAUCUUUCCUCAACCACAACAGUCGCUAACGAUGGUACAUACACCACAACUCCAACACAACAGGUUAUGACACCCAGGACAAGAAACACCCGCCAUCGUUCCCAGCCCGAGUCGGACACCUUUGUUAACAAUGUUUUGGAUCUCGGCCUACCAACCUUGGAAUGCAUGCAUUGUCAUGCUAUGUUUUGGGCUAAUGAGGCAAUUAGUUGUGCGCGACGACGUGCACACCCGAAGUAUCCACUAUGUUGUCAACUAGGGAAAUUUGAUCUCAUUUUGUUGCGGCGUACGCCCGGUUUGCUUGAUCGUUUGCUAGAUGUGAAUGGUGAUGCACUUUCUAGACAUUUCCGAGACAAAAUUCGCAUCUACAACGCUUCUUUUUCUUGGACAUCAUUCGAAGCCAAGUUAAAUCCAUGCCUUCUAAAUUCACGUGGACCAUACUCAUUAGUCUUAUGUGGCGAAAACUACCAUUAUAUGGGUUCGUUACUACCCCCCAAAGGUCAACGACCCCGAUAUAAUCAGCUAUACGUGCAUGACCCCACAUCAGAAGUGUCAGAUAGGUUCUCAAAUGUUGCUAGUGGACCAAGUACCUUGAAUUUAGAACUUAUUCAGCAACUCCAGAACAUGCUAGAUGAAUACAAUGUCUUGACGCAAGGCUUUCGAUGGGUUCACGAUGCAUUGCAAAUUCCGGCCAAUCAAAAUCUGCGGUUACGCAUCACUGGGACACGAGUGCAACAAGACCGUAUGUAUGAAUUACCGACUGGUUCCGAAUUAGCUGGCCUUAUACCAGGUGAUUUCACACCAGACCAUGAUGAUCGGGAUAUCAUCGUUAACAAUAGAUCAACUGGAUUAUGCCGAAUCACAAGUUUGAACCCGCUUUUUGAUUCCUUACAUUUUCCACUAUUGUUUCCAUAUGGUAAUGAUGGGUAUCAUAACCGUAUUUCCUACAACCCACUACACCUCGAUCUUGGACAGAAACGUAAAUACAUAACCCAACGUGAAUAUUAUUGUUUUCGCUUUAAUAUAGGCGCAACGAAGGUACUACUCUUAUACGAGGCGGGAAAGCGCUCCAGCAUUUCUGUAUUAAUACUUUCACAACCAUUGAACAAAAUCGGUUGACAUAUUUGCGCUUGAACAAAAAAAAAUUGCGCUCGGACAUAUAUAAGGGAUUAUAUGAUGCUCUCAAUCGUGGUGACCUCGACGCACGCAAUAUUGGCCGCAUCAUCAACCCUUCCAGCUUUACAGGUUCGUAGCACUAACCAAAACUGUUGUAUUAUUUACACAAUCUCAGGACACGUUUUAAAAAGCAUGUGCACCCCCGCUUACCAAUCAAUAUCCACCAAAUAUAUGUUUCCAUUUACAUUCAUCCAUGUUCUUUCACAGGUAGCAUCCGCUAUAUGCAACAACUUUAUCACGAUGCGAUGGCCGUUACUCAUUAUUAUGGCAAUCCCGAUCUUUUCAUUACAUUCACAUGUAAUGUGCAAUGGCCUGAGAUUGUUAAUGCGUUCAAGGAUGAAGUUGGGACCAAUAGUGAGAAUAAACCAAUGGUAGUAGCUCGCGUCUUCCGUAUGCGUUUGGCGCUCCUGAAAGUCGAUCUAAAUAGGGCUCAGUUCUUCGGGAAAAAUGUGGCAAGUAAGCACCAUUAGGAAUGUACUUUAUUCAACACCCACGUACAUUUAUCAUUUUGUUCCCCACAUUUCCUAACUUUGGUUUCUCAACCUACCUUCCAUGCAUAUAGGUAUGCAUACAGUUGAAUUCCAAAAACGUGGCUUGCCACAUGUUCACAUUAUCCUCUGGCUGCAAGAUAUUUAUAAACCUACGACUACUACAAUGGUUGACAGAAUAAUCUCAACGGAGCUUCCAAAUCCAGAAAUAGAUCCAAUGGGAUAUGAAGCUGUGACCAAAUUUAUGCUCCAUGGCCCUUGCGGUGAUGCGAACCCUUCCUGCCCAUGUAUGAAAAACAAUAGGUGUUCAAAAUUGUUCCCCAAACCAUACAUCUCCGAGACAACAUUUGACGAACAUGGUCAUGUUACAUAUCGCCGGCGUCAAUCAAAUAUUAGUGCAAUCAAGUCUGGACAGACAUUAGACAAUGCAUUUGUGGUUUCGUACAAUCGCGAUCUUCUUGUCAAAUAUCAGACACAUAUGAACAUUGAGAUCUGCCACAAAGGCCAACUAAUCAAGUAUUUGUUUAAGUAUAUAACAAAAGGUCCGGACAGGUCAGAAGUCGCUGCUGAACGACAGCCUAACACUACUAGAAAGAACAAUCCGGACCCAAACGCACCCAUUGACGAAAUAUCUCAGUACUUAGAUUGCAGAUCCAUUUCUUCACAUGAGGCAAUUUGGAGAUUAUAUGCAUUCAAGAUCCACGAAAGAACACCAGCUGUUUUCCGCCUAUGCGUCCACCUUCCCAACCAGCAACAAGUUUCGUAUCCUGAACACCAAACACUUGCAUCAAUUAUCAACCGCCCAUGUAUUGACAAAACAAUGUUGACUGAAUGGUUCACCCUCAACCGGUUGUGGCCGCCAGCUAGAAAAUAUUUAUAUUCUGAAAUUACACAUGCUUUUGUUUGGGAUAAGCAAUGUGCACAAUGGACGCCUAGGAAGAGGGGGUUUGUACUCGGUCGCGUGGCUUCAGUCCCUCCUCGGACCGAUGUGUUUUAUCUCAGGUUGUUGUUAAGCAAAAUUCAUGGAGCAACAAGCUUCACAGACAUGCGCACGGUCAAUGGAGUCGUAUGCACGGACUAUCGGGAAGCAUGCAAAGCCCUAGGCCUUCUAUCAAAUGAUGAUGAGUGGAAUGAUGUCAUGGUCGAGGUUUCACGUUGGGGCAUGGCACCGCUCAUCCGAAGCACAUUCGUAUCUCUUCUGAUUUUCUGCCAUGUUGCUUCCCCGAGCACAUUAUUUGAUCAAUGGUGGCCAUCAAUGUCUGAUGACUUCACAUACCACCAGCAACAUCUUAGAGAUGAUCCAACUCCAGACCCGUUUCCUGGUAAUUUGCGCAACCAAGUCCUACUCGCAUUACAAGUUCUCCUUCAGAACUACUCAAUGACACUUUCGCAGUUCAACCUACCACACCCUGUUGUUGCUCCCAUGGAUGACACUUGUAAUGAUUUGGUAGCACAACAAUUGCAGUACGACUGCAACCGCGAACAAACUAUGUACAACCACUACCACUCAUCCCUAAACGAAUACCAGAAAAUAGCUCACGAUACUGUUGUAGCUUCAUUGUCGAACAACCAGGGGAAAUUGUUUUUCUUAUAUGGCCAUGGAGGCACUGGGAAAACAUAUAUGUACAAUUGCAUCCUCGCAAAGGUCCGAAGCGAGGGAAAAAUAGCUUUGGUUGUCGCACCCUCGGGUAUAGCAUCCACUUUAUUGACAGGAGGAGUCACGGCACAUUCACGCUUCAAGAUACCCAUCGAUGUUGACCAUACGUCGACCUGCGCGAUUACGAAAGGAACCUCCCUCGCACUACUUAUCCAGAAAACAUCUUUGAUCGUCUGGGAUGAAGCGCCUAUGGUCCAUCGGUUGAGUUUCGAGGCUCUCGACCGAACCCUUUGUGACAUCAUGGAUGUUGCUUCACAAGGACCAUGUUAUAGACCUUUCGGUGGUAAAACUGUUUUACUCGGUGGCGACUUUCGCCAAACAUUACCAGUUGUCAAAAUUGGUGGGCGUGAGGCUAAUAUCAACGCAUCUUUAACCCAUUCGUACUUAUGGUCUCAUUGUGUGCUACUGGAACUGCAUUCAAACAUGUGUAUCCACCAAUCAAACACUAAUAUGGCAGCAGACUUUGCCGGCCUAACAUUUUCAGAAUGGAUCCUAGCUGUAGGAGAUGGUAAAAUACACACCCUUACACCUCCAACCCAUGCAACCUCUGAUUGGAUAUCUAUCUCACAACGCUUCAUCAUACCAUUGUCAGGAAACCCAAUCCGCUCAAUUGUUGAACAUGUCUACCCAAGACUCCAAUCUUCAUAUCAGAACAUGACCUACAUCCGGAUUAGAGCAAUUGUCACCCCCACCAACACCAAUGUCGGGUUAAUCAAUGAUUAUAUCCUUGAACAACUACCAGGCCAGCCAAAAGUAUACCUCAGUGCAGACUCACUUACAACACCCGGCCCUAAUCAACAGACCCUAGAGAUUCAAUAUCCAACUGAAUUUCUAAACGGAUUAUCAUUUAAUGGAAUGCCAGAACAUCAAAUCAAGUUUAAACCCUAUUGUAUCGUCAUGCUGUUGCGAAACUUAAAUCCGUAGGCAAGAUUAUGUAAUGGUACGCGCAUCUUGCUAACACAUUUGGCCACUCAUGUUGUUCGUGGCCUCAUUGUUGGCGGAACAUUUGAAGGUACUAUUGCUAUUAUCCCACGCAUAAUCCUUGACUAUACGGAUCCUAACUGGCCAUUCACACUUCGGAGAAGACAAUUUCCCCUAAAGCUAUGCUAUGCUAUGACGAUAAACAAAAGUCAAGGACAAACCCUCGACCAAGUUGGCCUAUAUCUGUCUUCUCCAGUUUUCAGCCACGGUCAACUAUAUGUGGCGAUAUCAAGGGUCAGAUCAGCAACUGGGAUCCACAUAGUUAUCCAAAAUGAUGAAACCACAAGACCAGACAUCACCCGCAAUAUUGUGUACAAAGAAAUAUAUGAAGACCUGCAUUCAAGUCCAUCUACCUAUGUCGAAUCUUCGAUAUAAAUAUAUAUAUAUAAUUGUAAUUCUACAUAAUUGUAACCCGUAUUCGACAAAAGCAAUUGCAACCCUAUAUAUAAGUGGUCCAUGGUGACAUUAUUUUAUUAAAUAGCUCUAUCACAUUACAGAUCAGUAACCAAACCGGUUCUACAUGUCAAUUAUAUACUAAGCGGCAUCGCGCGUGCUCGAAAUCUAGUUGUUUAAUUAAGGCUUAAAUCUCCCAAGUGUCACCAUCUUUUAGGAAAUUCAAUAGGUGAUGAUUUACAGAAAAUGGCAAUAGGUGGUGUAUAAGUUUGGAAUUUCUUGAAAAGUGGUUAUGGAGAUGUAAGCCAUUAAUUAAUAAUCUAUUUUUCUUUUCUUUUAUCAAAAAAACUAAUAGAAAGAGCAGCUGCAGCUGGGGGAAGUUUGAAUGAAUGGCUCUCUGGAAUGGAUCAACUUGCUGAGGAGGCUCUAACAGCAGGUGAAGUUCAUGAUACUGGCUGAAUGAUUUUGGAAUGUUCAUUUGUCUUUAAUGUAGUAGCUGCCGUGAUUGCUUUACAUACAACACAGUUCUUUAGACUUUUAGCUAGGUUGGAUCAAGGUACUAGUUAUGUGUAAAAGCACAGUAGUGGAGCUGUUAGCAGAGAGCACCACAGUGAUGAUUGUAAGGAUAUUUGAUCAGAAGCUUUUCACUGAGAGUUAAUAAAUCUCAAGCCAUAUUUAUGUAGCUUUUACCAUGCAAAAACUUAGGAACUACUGGCAUUUCAACUUGAACUCGCUCUUUUGGUUCUUGAUGGAGCGUUCUCAUCUUCUGAUUGAGAAAUUAAAAUCUGGGU